AUGGAUAAGCUUAGAUUAACAAGGAACUGGGGACAGAGAAAAAAAGGAACCAAAACCAAGAGAUGUGUGAACUGCUGCCUGCUUAAGAGCAGUUUCCUGUCUCUGUAUCUGAUCAAGCAGAAGCAGACGCUUUUCUUAGAAGCAGAUACGGGUUACACUGCCCAUGGCAUAACGGCAACCACUGCACGGGGACACGUGGCUGCCAAGGAUAGCUGUAAUCCAAUACCAUCCUCCUAGGCAAAACCAGCAGGUGUGCUCAGUAGCAGAGAGAAAACCUGGGAAUUUGUCGGAUCAUGCAUUCAGGUAAGAAAAAUCAUCUUGCAUUACAAAGUCCUAUUUAUCAGAAAAACAACUCAGCAAGAAAGUGUGAUAUGAACCAGUUCUUUUGAAAUAAGGCCCAAGCAAUUUGAGUGAAAUGUGUCAUAAUCAGGGCAAAGUGGUGCUUUCUGCUUUUAUAUCUCUGUGCAAGAAACUGCAGCGUGCAUUGUGGUAAGCUUCAUUUGCUGUCUGUUUGACACACUUAAGUAUAGGUCAUCAAUACGUGCCAGAAUGACACACUUCUCAUUAUUACCAUCAUUGAAAGCAUGUCCUCAUGUAAGGACCAUGAAUGUGUCACAAAUGGAUUACCUGGGCGAUGCUACACAGCCUCCAGGGCUGCAUCUGUAGGAACUAGUGAACAUACUGGUUAAGAAGAAAAGAUAGCAAUGAGGUACAGUGACUUGUGAAUAUGAAGAACAGAAAAAACUUUCUGAGGUGACAAUUUUCAUGUGGUUCCAACUCACUUUGAAUUUCAUUUUUAGUGUCCCAGCCUACCAUUAGCCAAUUACGCCUUCAGAUACUCAUUCCUUAAGGCAGAUGGCAGAAGAGCAGAGCAAAAUCUUGCCCCAAAGAACAUGUGGUUUAUUCAGAUAAGAGCAAUAUAAGGACAAGUGUUUUACCUUAUGAUCAGUAAGAUCAACAGAACAAAACUCUUAGAAAUUAGAAGCAAUGAGCUGAAAUGAAAAAGUUGAAAAAAUCCCAGAUGGUAUGAGAAAGUUGGCAUGUUGGUCUAAAAGUAGAUACAAAAGAAGCUGUUGAGAGUAAUGAGAGAAGUUGGGAGCUUGUAAGGAUGGUGAGUCUGUAAUACAACAAGUUAACUAACAAAGAGAGUUUAUGGGGGAGGGAGAAGGAAUUCCAGUUUCUCAGUCACGAGAUGAGGAAACACUGCCUCAUACACUUGCUGCAUUACACACAUGCUUCUGAAAGGGCACGUUUCCCUUUUAGACAUGAAGAGACCUGUCAUAGGAAAAGAGAUGCUAAAGUGUGAUUAGGAGAAGAGGUAGGUAUUUUAUCUUUGAUUCAUCUGGUCUGUCUGCAUACAUUUGAUUUCUUUUUGGUGAGAAGUGGGUCACAAAACCGUGGGAUCCAAUUUCUAGAGCUAGAUUUUUAUUUUGUGAUACUUAUCUGUACUGAUAAGCUUACAAUGCCCUAUUUACUGCGUGGUUUUGUGAAACCAAGCUGAAAUGCAGACAUUUUAUGUUUGUCUUCAAUACAGACACUGCAUUUUUUUUAAUUAGUCAUUAUGUUGAUAAAGUUCCUCAAUUGACCAAAUUGGCAAGUCCUUCUCAGGAAUUUUCCUUGGCUUUCAUGCUUGUGAAUGAGUUUAGCUCUAGCUGAUAAAUUAGGCAACUUGAUCAAAUAAGGCACUGGCAGGUAGAAUUGAAUAUGUGCUUUCUGGGUAGUUUUGUAAUUGCUCCUUUUUUUAAUGAAUAAUAAUGAAAGGGGCUCUUUUUUUGUGGACAAGAGAUCCAUAUAAUAACCUCUCAGGACAGGCAAUGAACCUGUUUGGGUUUUUCUGAUAAAGCCACAAACAUCAAACCUAUAAAAGGCUGAAUUUUUCUUACCACGUGGCAAGGCUUCUGGACACAAGAUGUAGUCCAUUGGAGUUUUUUCCCGUGUGGGAACAGUUGCAGAUGUGCUAUCUUGUAGCCACUCAUUCUUCAGCCUCUUCACCUCCUUUGCUGCAGUCCAGGCUCAAAGCACAGAUGAGCAAUCACAGCACUCUCUCAAGCAGUAUAUUUGGCAGUAUAACUGAACUGCAACCAAUAUUUUCCGUUCUUGUAUUUCCUGAACGUAACAAUUAGUUCGCUAGAGAAGGGAACUGCUGAGUGUCAGAGCUGUGACACAAUCAGUGAGUUCCAGGUGUCUCACAAUUACACUUAUGCACCCUUUCUUACUGAAAGGUCAGCUCUUCUACGUGUGUCUAAGGCUCACUCACGCAACUCCUCCAGUCCCACUGCUUUACUCAGGGCUGCCCUUUUACUGAUAUUUUCAUGUUGAAGCUGUUGAUAACCACAGUCCUGGAAGUGACUAAGUUUAAUUGCUAAUGGCUUUAUAAGCUCAUGUAUCACAGCUGCAAUUUUUAGAGGGAAGAAGUGUAAAUGAAAAACUGUACUCGGUCUCCACCUCACAUGUUUAAAGGGACACCCAGCAGAUUGUCAUGUGCAUGCAGGAACCCAAUAGCCUGACAGGUUUCACACAAAGGUUUCUGGAACAUGCAGUAAGUCUUGCUGGAACAGCACAGUUAAUGGCAAGUUUGUGUGGGAUCACAUACAAA
This 2596-nucleotide long non-coding RNA is filed under the name Ficedula albicollis (Collared flycatcher). Its description in RNAcentral is "lncRNA (ENSFALG00000025476.1)". Lineage: Eukaryota; Metazoa; Chordata; Aves; Passeriformes; Muscicapidae. The record is from RNAcentral.